RNAcentral lists this unclassified non-coding RNA (4414 nucleotides) under Haliotis rubra (blacklip abalone). Its description in RNAcentral is "uncharacterized LOC124279953, transcript variant X1". The record is from RNAcentral. Lineage: Eukaryota; Metazoa; Mollusca; Gastropoda; Lepetellida; Haliotidae.
AUCAACCUCCAAACAGAAAAGAGUUGUCAAACGUGUGUUUACUCACAAGAAAUGGAUAUACUUCUGUUGGAAUACCAGGAGAAUUCUAAGAUAACAAAACCAGGACACAGAUAUAGGAGAAUGGACAGCAGUUGGUCAUUAUCAUCAAACUAGUCACUUCUAUGUUCACCUUCCUAGGCGAUGUUCAGACGAUGGUGUUCGCUCUGAACCGAUGGAGGAGAACCACCCGGGGGAAGAAGAUUCUGCUUAUUCUAGCUGCUGGUCUGAUUAUUGUCAUCAUCAACAUCAUAUGUGGUGUCAACUUCAUGGACGCCCGCUAUCCUGUUGACUACAAUACUGAUGACAAGUCUUCUCCAUUUCGCGUACCUGACACAAACAGUGAGAACUUCUUCAGAGAACAACGCCGACGUGAAAGACUUCAGAUUUUCCAAAAGAUUUUCGAAAAACAGAGUCGCAGAAAAUCACAAAUCAGUAAUCAGACCUGUCAGCAUCCCCAUUUGGAUUUGAAGCAUGAUAGCAACAAAGAUGCAUUUCAUUCUAUGCCUCCACUGAACUGUACAGGGAAGAGCUUGUUCUACCUACACAAUCGGGUUGCACGGCUCAACAACACUGUGCUGCAGGGUAAGGAGCUUGGCAAGUGUUUGUAUUUUGGGAUAGAACGAAUGACUGAUGAUUUCUUUACCUACACAGAGAGCUUAGAAAAGACAGCACCUCCAUAUGACCUCAUUUUAAAUCACGACUUUCUGAGAAUACAGUGUAACUAUAAGAGCUCGGAAGAUGAAGAAAACAAUAAUGUGUAUCCUGGUUUUCGAAGACUGAUGUCAACAGAACAUAGGCGCCAAAAGGAUUAUUUUACAAAAAGUCAAAAUGGUUCCUUUCAUGAAACUAAUUUCAAACGUAAUCAUGAUGUAUUUGACAGAAAAAAUUUGAAAGAUGUGAUCCAUUUUUCUCAACAGCCUCAUAUAGACAAAAAGUCAAAUUCUUCUUUUGACGAAUUGAAAACAUGGAAUACAUCAGCUUCUUCACAGAAUGGUCAAGCACGGAAGCUAAACCAGCUGAACUUUGAGGAGGGUAGAGCUGGAGAUGAGUUAAAAGAACCAAUGAACGGUGCCGGCGACAUCAUGGCACCAUUUCCAGGUGGAAAUUCUGAUGAGAGUAAUCCUGCGGUUGGGCAGGGUUUAGAUGACAGCGAGGGAUUUGACUACCAGCAUUUUAUGGGAGCUGAAUGGAUGGAUAAAGAUUUUGAUCAGUUUCUUGUUCAAGUUGUUCCGAAGCAAGAAGUGUUUGAAAGAAUUGCCAAGGCUAAAUCCAACAUGAAGAAGCCAUCGUCCAAUAUGAACAUCCUCAUCAUAGCCAUGGAUUCAAUGUCACAGCUGUCCUACCAGAGGAAACUACCGCUGACUUAUCGAUACCUGAAGGAAGAGCUGGGGGCGAUCAUGCUGGAUGGCUACAAUAUUGUCGGUGAUGCUACCACUGCUGCCCUCAUCCCCAUGUUAACAGGGAAGACGGAGAUGGAGUUGCCGGAGGUGCGGAAGGAGGAGGAGGAUGCAAACUUUGUCGACGUCUACCCCAUGGUGUGGAACCGCUUCAAGGAGGCUGGCUACGCCACUCUGUUUGCAGAGGAUGAGCCAUCCAUCAGCACCUUCAACUUGCGCUUUAAUGGAUUCCAGGAAUCUCCUGCUGACCACUACAUGCGGCCAUUCUGGCAGGCCAUCUGGGAGUCCGGUCUUCGGUCACAGAGUCCGCGGUACACCACUGGCGCCACCAAACACCACAUCUACAUGCUGGACUACCUUAAAGACUUCUUUGUCAACUACAACAACGUGUCCAAGUUUGCAUUUGGCUUCAGCGUGGAACUCACUCACUGGGACAACAACCCUGGGGAGUACAUGGACAGAGAUCUUGUAGAGUUCCUGCAGCUUUUUCAGAAGAAGGGUUACCUUGACAACACAAUGCUGGUUGUCAUGGGCGACCAUGGUGCUAGAUACAGCAAGGUGCGGAAUACGGUUCAGGGGAAGCUUGAAGAGAGACUGCCAAUGAUGUCACUUGUGUUGCCGCCAUGGUUUCGUCAUGAAUAUCCAAAAGCUAAUGCAGCGUUAAAACGGAAUAGUAAACGUCUAACAACACCGUUUGACAUUCAUGAAACAUUUUUAGAUUUGUUGAAUCUUGAACGAUUGACAGUCCCCAUUAAUCCAGAACAGAGGGGGAUGAGUGUAUUGAGAGACAUUCCAGAUAACCGAACCUGUGCUUCGGCCAGGAUCGACAUCCACUGGUGUGCUUGUCUUCAUCAGGUGAAGGUCAACAUCGAGGAUAAGUUUGUUGUGACAGCGUCUGAGAAGGUUGUCAACUACAUUAAUGGGUUCACAGAGAAGCUUCGCGGUAACUGCUCGGAACUAAGUCUGAAGAGAAUAUACACUGCUUACAUGGUGCUGCCCAAUGAGAAGGUACUGAAGUUCCAAAAGACGACCGACCCAGAUUCAAGGAAUGCUAAUUUCAGUGGGUCAGUUGACCUUGACAAAGCUCACUACCAAAUUACCCUGGAGACACAUCCCAGUGAUGCCAUCUAUGAGGUUACAGUUCAGGUAGACUUCCGUAACGAGACAUACCAAUAUCACGUGACUCCAGAGAUCAGUCGCCUUAAUCUGUACGGAGACCAGCCCAAGUGUAUUCAGAAACACCAUCCAGACCUCAGAAAGUAUUGUUUUUGUCGGGACUUUGUAAAGCCAAUCUCUGAGGUCGGGAAGGGAGUGGCUUAGAGCCCAACUGUAUUGAGAAACACCAUCUUGACCUCAGAAAGUAUUGUUUUUGUCGGGACUUUGUAAAGCCAAUCUCUGAGGUCGUAAAGGGAGUGGCUUAGAGCCCAAGUGUAUUCAGAAACACCAUCUUGACCUCAGAAAGUAUUGUUUUUGUCGGGAGUUUGUAAAGCCAGUCUUUGAGGUCGUAAAGGGAGUGGCUUAGAGCCUAAGUGUAUUCAGAUACUCCAUUCUGACCUCAGAAAGAUAAUCAUGUUGAUAUGUUAUGUUAUCUGAAAGAUAUAUUAUAAGAUUCCAAAUGGUGAAAGAGCCAUGUGUUUAUGCCAGUUGCAGCAUGAAGAGUGCUAUUUUACAGUGAUUUUGACUCUAUAUACAUGUUUAUACAUAUACAUAGCUCGGCUAAUCUUUGUGAUUACAGGCCAUUUGGAAGAAAAUUAAAGUGUUUCUCACAUUAUGAUGCACCAGCUUUCAAAUCCCUGAAACACCUAAGUGAUGAAUUGCCAGAUUUUAGAAUAGGACCCUGAUUAUCAAGACAGUGAAAUUCUGUCUAUGGUGGUACUACUUCCAUUAAUUACUUCUUCAUGACCAAACAAUAUAAUUGUAUGGAUAAACGAGGCGAGACUAUGAGGAGUUUAACAAAUAUAAACUGUUAUUACUGUAAAUUAUGAUGAUUUAGCUCGUCACCUGUGAGCAUAGACGUUCCUUGAUCAAUGUCCUGGAUAUGAAUAAAACUGUGUGCGGUCCUCUGGGUAUUGAUCCAGUUACAAAUCCGAGGUUAUAUGGCCAGUUUUUCAGAAUCAGACAAUAUUUGUUAGUUCAAUAUAUUGUUAUCAUACUUAUGUCCAACAUAUGUGAUAUUUUUUAUCGAUGACUUUGACAGAUGUUUUUAAAAUAUGCAAAGACAUACCCCAUCUGUCAUUAUUUAAAAAAAAUAUUGUCUUUGAUAAUUUAUUGGCAAACAGAUGUUUGUGUUUUGCUCACCUUUGAAAACCUUGAACAUUGAUUGUGUUCUUGUCCGAGUUUGUGGUGGCAUGACUGGUCAUGUGUUCCUCAUGUGUGUACAAUAUAGACCAGUUUGAUAACCAGAGAUGUAUUGAGCACCUGACUGAAAGAUGUAACUCACAGUACUGUUGUUUGUGUAACAUACAGUAUAUUAUGUGGGAUGUAUUGUGAAGGAAAAAUGUUAAUUAUCUAUGUCAUGGGGUUGGAGAGUAUUUCCUUAACCAUGCUCCGUAGGUGUUCAUAACCGAUUGGCUGUUACAGAAAUAACUGCCCCUGUUUUGUUGGGGUGGUGGGGUAGCCUAAUGGUUGAUUCCCCACAUGGGUACAAUGUGUGAAACCCAUUUCUGAUAUUCCCAGCGGUGAUAUUGCUGGAGUAUUGCUAAAAGCGACGUAAAACCAUACUCUCCCUCCCUGGUUGGUUGGUUGCCUUUCAGAAAGUAUUUGGAAGCUCUUUUUCUACUACGUUGAUCAUGUACUUUUGUAAUUGGGAAUGUUUACAGUUUUAUUAGAAUCGAUCAGUAACCACACCUAUAUUUUUGAGAUAAUUGUCUUUCACGUUGAAGGUCAAGGUCAUAGCCUACAAGAAAUUACCCCGAGAUAUUGCUGAGAAUCUGAUUAAGGUUGUUGGUUAAUGAAAUUUGGUACAUUUUUUUAGGUGA